UUAUUAAUACCCCCAAAAACACCCAAUAUUAAUUAAACAAACCAUUUUUCCCCCCAAGUAUGGGCGACAGAAAAGGAACAUUUAGAGCUAUAGAAAAAGUACCGCAAGGGAAUGCUGAAAAAGAAGUGAAACAACUCAGUAAAGUUUAAAAAAGCAAAGAUUCACCCUUGUACCUUUUGCAUCAUGAUUUAGUCAGUAAAAACAAGCAAAAGGCACUUUAGUUUGAUUUCCCGAAACUAAGUGAGCUACUCCAAGACAGCCUAAAAUAGGGCCAACCCGUCUCUGUGGCAAAAGAGUGGGAUGAGCUUAGAGUAGAGGUGAUAAGCCUACCGAACUUAGUUAUAGCUGGUUGCCUGAGAAAUGAAUAGAAGUUCAGCUUUUUGGUUUCUCCCCCCAACCUGCUUAGCUAUAACGAACCAAAGAAGCCAAAAAAGUUAAUUAAAGGGGGUACAGCUCCUUUAAACAAGAUACAACUUCACCAGCCGGGUAAAGGUCAUAUACAAUUAAGGUAGAAUGUUCUAGUGGGCCCAAAAGCAGCCACCUAUAAGAAAGCGUCAAAGCUCCUUCAUACCACCCCCCCCCCCCCCCAAUUCAGAUAAUAUAUCCUAAACCCGCUAAUUUUAUCAAGCCGCCCUAUGCUGCCAUAGGAGCGAUUAUGCUAAAAUGAGUAAUAAGAAAAGCCACCUUUUCUCCUUGCACUCGUGUAAAUCGAAACGGACCCCCCAUCGAUCAUUAAUCGGCCCCAAAAAAAAGAGGGUAAUGAACUAUCAACCCCAAUAACAAGAAAAACACCCAAAUAUCAACCGUUAACCUCACACAAGUACGCUCACAAGGAAAGACUAAAAGAAAAAGAAGGAACUCGGCAAAUACAAGCCUCGCCUGUUUACCAAAAACAUCGCCUCUUGAAAACUAAGUAUAAGAGGUCC
RNAcentral lists this ribosomal RNA (926 nucleotides) under Betta pulchra. RNAcentral describes it as "partial 16S ribosomal RNA". The stretch from base 142 to 663 matches the Rfam family "Bacterial large subunit ribosomal RNA", at positions 573 to 1301 of the family's 2925-position model. Lineage: Eukaryota; Metazoa; Chordata; Actinopteri; Anabantiformes; Osphronemidae. The record is from RNAcentral.